This 221-nucleotide long non-coding RNA is filed under the name Medicago truncatula (barrel medic). Its description in RNAcentral is "long non-coding RNA (MTRU_LNC007380)". The record is from RNAcentral. Lineage: Eukaryota; Viridiplantae; Streptophyta; Magnoliopsida; Fabales; Fabaceae.
UCUGUCUUUACACACUUAACUGCCAACCACUUUAACUCUUGGCGUCUAAGUUAAUCAAGAAUUGUGUGUGACCUUUUGUUAGUCCUUUAUCACUUUUUCUCAUUUUAAUAUAUUUCUAAGAUGGAUGAAGCAGUUGCGCCAGAUCGAAAGGAAGAGCGCAAUAGAAGAGUUGAAGAGAAGCCUCGUUGUUGUUUGCUAAUGUUUCCUUUGCAUGUUUCCAA